GAAAUGCGAUAAGUAGUGUGAAUUGCAGAAUUCAGUGAAUCAUCGAAUCUUUGAACGCACAUUGCGCCCUUUGGUAUUCCAAAGGGCAUGCCUGUUCGAGCGUCAUUUGUACCCUCAAGCUUUGCUUGGUGUUGGGCGUCUUGUCUCUAGCUUUGCUGGAGACUCGCCUUAAAGUAAUUGGCAGCCGGCCUACUGGUUUCGGAGCGCAGCACAAGUCGCACUCUCUAUCAACAAAGGUCUAGCAUCCAUUAAGCCUUUUUUUCAACUUUUGACCUCGGAUCAGGUAGGGAUACCCGCUGAACUUAAGC
RNAcentral lists this unclassified non-coding RNA (308 nucleotides) under plant metagenome. Its description in RNAcentral is "partial contains 5.8S ribosomal RNA, internal transcribed spacer 2, and large subunit ribosomal RNA". The stretch from base 1 to 105 matches the Rfam family "5.8S ribosomal RNA", at positions 50 to 154 of the family's 154-position model. The record is from RNAcentral.